GGGAUUGCCCCAGUAACGGCGAGUGAAGCGGCAACAGCUCAAAUUUGAAAUCUGGCCCCCCCGCGGGCCCGAGUUGUAAUUUGCAGAGGAUGCUUUCGGCGCGGCGCCUUCCGAGUGCCCUGGAACGGGACGCCAUAGAGGGUGAGAGCCCCGUCUGGUCGGACGCCCAGCCUCUGUAAAGCUCCUUCGACGAGUCGAGUAGUUUGGGAAUGCUGCUCUAAACGGGAGGUAUAUGUCUUCCAAAGCUAAAUACCGGCCAGAGACCGAUAGCGCACAAGUAGAGUGAUCGAAAGAUGAAAAGCACUUUGAAAAGAGGGUUAAACAGUACAUGAAAUUGUUGAAAGGGAAGCGCUUGUGACCAGACUCGGGCGCGGCGAAUCACCCGGCGUUCUCGCCGGUGCACUUCGACGCGCCCGGGCCAGCAUCAGCUCGCCGCGGGGGACAAAGGCGUCGGGAACGUGGCUCCCCAGGGAGUGUUAUAGCCCGGCGCGCAACGCCCCGCGGCGGACUGAGGUUCGCGCGUCCGCAAGGAUGCUGGCGUAAUGGUCACCAGUGACCCGUCUUGAAACACGGACCAAGGAGUCGUCCUCGUAUGCGAGUGUUCGGGUGUCAAACCCCUACGCGCAAUGAAAGUGAACGCGGGUGAGAGCCUCGCGGCGCAUCAUCGACCGAUCCUGAUGUUCUCGGAUGGAUUUGAGUAGGAGCAUACGGGGCCGGACCCGAAAGAAGGUGAACUAUGCCUGUGUAGGGUGAAGCCAGAGGAAACUCUGGUGGAGGCUCGCAGCGGUUCUGACGUGCAAAUCGAUCGUCAAACAUGGGCAUGGGG
RNAcentral lists this ribosomal RNA (826 nucleotides) under Ophiocordyceps sinensis. RNAcentral's name for it is "LSU rRNA". It matches the Rfam family "Eukaryotic large subunit ribosomal RNA", at positions 71 to 922 of the family's 3401-position model. Lineage: Eukaryota; Fungi; Ascomycota; Sordariomycetes; Hypocreales; Ophiocordycipitaceae. The record is from RNAcentral.